UUGGAUUUUCAUUUCAUUUAGUUCCAUUUAAAUCAAUUCUAUGGAUCCAAAAACCAAUUGUUUAAAGUUGCUUUCUUAGUUAAUGUGAUUGAUUAAGAAAAGGGUGAUUAUGAACCAAAGGCCUCGAUAAUUGAGCUAUGUGAUUGGCCGCUUUACAUUAUGAAUGUUUGGGUUUUAGUAGUAUAGAUUUGAAUGUAAUUUGAUUAAUUCAAUUUGUUGUAAAUGGACAUAAGUCCAUCAUUUGAUUUGUGUUGUAAA
This 258-nucleotide long non-coding RNA is filed under the name Malus domestica (apple). RNAcentral's name for it is "long non-coding RNA (MDOM_LNC018212)". The record is from RNAcentral. Lineage: Eukaryota; Viridiplantae; Streptophyta; Magnoliopsida; Rosales; Rosaceae.